Molecule: ribosomal RNA, 593 nt
Filed under: Alternaria infectoria
Lineage: Eukaryota; Fungi; Ascomycota; Dothideomycetes; Pleosporales; Pleosporaceae
Description: eukaryotic LSU rRNA
Rfam family: 5.8S ribosomal RNA (bases 234-387)
Source: RNAcentral
AACAAGGUCUCCGUAGGUGAACCUGCGGAGGGAUCAUUACACAAUAACAAGGCGGGCUGGACACCCCCCGCUGGGCACUGCUUCACGGCGUGCGCGGCGGGGCCGGCCCUGCUGAAUUAUUCACCCGUGUCUUUUGCGUACUUCUUGUUUCCUGGGUGGGCUCGCCCGCCCUCAGGACCAACCACAAACCUUUUGCAAUAGCAAUCAGCGUCAGUAACAACGUAAUUAAUUACAACUUUCAACAACGGAUCUCUUGGUUCUGGCAUCGAUGAAGAACGCAGCGAAAUGCGAUACGUAGUGUGAAUUGCAGAAUUCAGUGAAUCAUCGAAUCUUUGAACGCACAUUGCGCCCUUUGGUAUUCCAAAGGGCAUGCCUGUUCGAGCGUCAUUUGUACCCUCAAGCUUUGCUUGGUGUUGGGCGUCUUUUGUCUCCAGUUCGCUGGAGACUCGCCUUAAAGUCAUUGGCAGCCGGCCUACUGGUUUCGGAGCGCAGCACAAGUCGCGCUCUUCGCCAGCCAAGGUCAGCGUCCAGCAAGCCUUUUUUUCAACCUUUGACCUCGGAUCAGGUAGGGAUACCCGCUGAACUUAAGCAUA